GAUGAACGCUGGCGGCGUGCCUAAUACAUGCAAGUCGAGCGAACGGACGAGAACCUUGCUUCUCUGAUGUUAGCGGCGGACGGGUGAGUAACACGUGGAUAACCUACCUAUAAGACUGGGAUAACUUCGGGAAACCGGAGCUAAUACCGGAUAAUAUUUUGAACCGCAUGGUUCAAAAGUGAAAGACGGUCUUGCUGUCACUUAUAGAUGGAUCCGCGCUGCAUUAGCUAGUUGGUAAGGUAACGGCUUACCAAGGCAACGAUGCAUAGCCGACCUGAGAGGGUGAUCGGCCACACUGGAACUGAGACACGGUCCAGACUCCUACGGGAGGCAGCAGUAGGGAAUCUUCCGCAAUGGGCGAAAGCCUGACGGAGCAACGCCGCGUGAGUGAUGAAGGUCUUCGGAUCGUAAAACUCUGUUAUUAGGGAAGAACAUAUGUGUAAGUAACUGUGCACAUCUUGACGGUACCUAAUCAGAAAGCCACGGCUAACUACGUGCCAGCAGCCGCGGUAAUACGUAGGUGGCAAGCGUUAUCCGGAAUUAUUGGGCGUAAAGCGCGCGUAGGCGGUUUUUUAAGUCUGAUGUGAAAGCCCACGGCUCAACCGUGGAGGGUCAUUGGAAACUGGAAGACUUGAGUGCAGAAGAGGAAAGUGGAAUUCCAUGUGUAGCGGUGAAAUGCGCAGAGAUAUGGAGGAACACCAGUGGCGAAGGCGACUUUCUGGUCUGUAACUGACGCUGAUGUGCGAAAGCGUGGGGAUCAAACAGGAUUAGAUACCCUGGUAGUCCACGCCGUAGACGAUGAGUGCUAAGUGUUAGGGGGUUUCCGCCCCUUAGUGCUGCAGCUAACGCAUUAAGCACUCCGCCUGGGGAGUACGACCGCAAGGUUGAAACUCAAAGGAAUUGACGGGGACCCGCACAAGCGGUGGAGCAUGUGGUUUAAUUCGAAGCAACGCGAAGAACCUUACCAAAUCUUGACAUCCUUUGACAACUCUAGAGAUAGAGCCUUCCCCUUCGGGGGACAAAGUGACAGGUGGUGCAUGGUUGUCGUCAGCUCGUGUCGUGAGAUGUUGGGUUAAGUCCCGCAACGAGCGCAACCCUUAAGCUUAGUUGCCAUCAUUAAGUUGGGCACUCUAAGUUGACUGCCGGUGACAAACCGGAGGAAGGUGGGGAUGACGUCAAAUCAUCAUGCCCCUUAUGAUUUGGGCUACACACGUGCUACAAUGGACAAUACAAAGGGCAGCGAAACCGCGAGGUCAAGCAAAUCCCAUAAAGUUGUUCUCAGUUCGGAUUGUAGUCUGCAACUCGACUACAUGAAGCUGGAAUCGCUAGUAAUCGUAGAUCAGCAUGCUACGGUGAAUACGUUCCCGGGUCU
RNAcentral lists this ribosomal RNA (1372 nucleotides) under uncultured bacterium. Its description in RNAcentral is "bacterial SSU rRNA". It matches the Rfam family "Bacterial small subunit ribosomal RNA", at positions 28 to 1381 of the family's 1533-position model. The record is from RNAcentral.